GAAGACUCUGCUUGACUAGCUGAGAGGAGGUGCAUGGCCGUCGUCAGUUCGUACUGUGAAGCAUCCUGUUAAGUCAGGCAACGAGCGAGACCCACGCCCACAGUUGCCAGCGUACUCUCUGGAGUGACGGGUACACUGUGGGGACCGCCGCUGCUAAAGCGGAGGAAGGAAUGGGCAACGGUAGGUCAGUAUGCCCCGAAUAUCCCGGGCUACACGCGAGCUACAAUGGUUGGUACAAUGGGUAUCUACCCGAAAGGGGACGGGAAUCUCCUAAAACCAAUCUUAGUUCGGAUUGAGGGCUGCAACUCGCCCUCAUGAAGCUGGAAUCCGUAGUAAUCGCGUUUCAACAGAACGCGGUGAAUACGUCCCUGCUCCUU
Molecule: ribosomal RNA, 377 nt
Filed under: uncultured Methanosaeta sp.
Lineage: Archaea; Methanobacteriati; Methanobacteriota; Methanomicrobia; Methanotrichales; Methanotrichaceae
Description: bacterial SSU rRNA
Rfam family: Archaeal small subunit ribosomal RNA
Source: RNAcentral